Non-coding RNA from Cyanistes caeruleus (blue tit), 3838 nucleotides. The record is from RefSeq and is a predicted model, not a curated record. Lineage: Eukaryota; Metazoa; Chordata; Aves; Passeriformes; Paridae.
CAUUAUAUAUAUUUUUGUAUUUAUACAGAAGUAUGAACAUCAAGAAUUGGGAAGUUUACUCACAGUGACAAAGCAGAAGGAAAUGGACAAGGGACUUUACAGAGUUUCUCACUCUAUUGAGAGAUGGUAAAUGUAGGAGAUGCAUUUCUGAUUUUGCCUGCAAACAGCACAUCCUACCCCCUACACUUAUUGCACUACAGGGUUUGAAGCAACAUUGCUGAACAUUCUGUUCUAUGAACAGGGAGAAUUUUGGUUACUACAUGCAGGGGAAAAGAUUUGUGCUGCUCUAAACCCCAUUACACUCACAUGAUAAUGUGGAAUUUCUGUUCUCUUUUGUUCUAUAUAAAAUUUAGUAUUGCUGUCUCCUCUAAGACCAUUAAAAAUAUUUUCCCUUUUGUAAUUUGUUUUUUUCAUCUUUAUUAGAAGAACAAAAUUAAUUUUGAGGCAACAAGACAGCUAUGAGAUAAAUUGCUGUCAGAUGAAUCUAAUUCUGAAUGCAUGAUCCAGAGGUCUACAGCUUCUUCACAGACAGACAGGAAUUCUGUACCAGCCCAUUUUUUAAAUCCACCAUGCAAUUAAUCAGGUCGAUGCAGUCUAUCAGCACCUGUGUUAUUUUUUGAUGCAGUGAAAAAUAUCCAGUCCAUAAUUUUCAUAGUCUAGAGCUCAAGUACGUUCAUGUAUCCUGUCACCUGAGAACUACAGAAACUCCAGGCUCUGUGCACUUACAUCACUGUCAGUAUGGGAAAGAUUAGUGAAAGGAAAAGCAUUCCUCAGGUAGGCCUGGGAAGAGCUGUGCAUCAUCAGAGAUGAGGUGAAACUUGCUGUGACGUGUGACUGGGACAGGCAGAGCAUGUGGGCUUGUUGCAAAUCCAACAGGCAGAAUCCAAAUCCAACAUGCAGAAUCCCAUUAGCAGCUGCUGAGAUGAUCCCAGGAUUUUACAGCAUUGGCAAAUGAUUGCUGUAGAAGUAAAUAUUGGCUAACACAGGGCUGUGUGCCCAUGACCCUUUGAACUGGGGCACUGUGGCAUUUCAGUAUAUCCACAAAGGCACACAGAAUGACCUGUAAGGAACUCUGUACUCGGAUGAUUACUUCUCACCAGUCAAACACCCAGACAAGGGUGUAGGGACACUGUGUUCUAAGAAGUGGACACCAGAAAUAACUGCAGGGUUUGUGGUUAUGACUCCUGUGGCCACAGUCAGGGUGGGAAGAAUUGUACUGAUUAUGACUCAUCAGGAACUGAAAAUUUUUUCAUGCGAGUUGGCUUAAUGAUAAUGUAAAAGUAAAUAUUCUGAAGACCAAGAAAGGCAACAAAAAGAUUUUUGAUGUAAGGUGUGAACCUCUGACUGUGAUCAGCAUUUUAAGAAGGAAUUCAAGGUGUUACAGACAAGGAAUUAUUCUUAGCAGAAUAAAGCAUGGAAUAUCUUCUUUUAAGUUUUUUUCCUGCCCUGUAAUCUGCAAUAAAAAUGUGAGGACCGAGCCCUUCCUAUAUUUGUGGGUUAAUUUUCUAUUGAAAGAGCCUCUUAAUGCAGGCACAUUCCCCUCUUCUAGGACAAAAGACAUGAGCAGCUUUUGGGUGGCACAUAUACUGGUGGGACAGAAACAGCUGGUGCUGCAUGCCUUACUCUUGCCAAAAGUUUGCCUCAUUUAGCAGGUCAUCAGUAUCAUUCAGCAGCAGGAUAUAGCAGGUCACCACUCCUGAGCAACAACACAGAGUUAGGAGUAUCUUAUCUUGAGAGAUUCAUGGCCAAGAAGCACAACCAGGGACUGAGCUCCUGUCUGACAGAACAUGUGGCACAGCUGUCUACCAAGGGAGCAAGGCUGUCCACAUACACAUCACUUAAAAGCAGUAGCUACAGAUGACACAGGAAAAUCCAGGGAACAAGAGCCUAUUCCUUCAUCAUACAACAUAAAACCUGCAAAUAAGCAAUAAAAAAAAGUUUGUCUUAAACUGGGCCUGUGAUUUGUAAGACACAGAAAUCAGCCCAGGGGCUGGGGUAGGAAUAGUGGCGUAAAAUUACCACCUAAACCAGGGGUAAAGGUGGUAAUAUUUCAGAAAUUCAGAUAACAUUGUACCAGCAACAACAUUUUUUGACUCCUGUGAUUAUCACUUGCUUCCACCUGGGCUCUUAUCAGUGUGCUGGGAAAACUGUAUUUGUGAAGCAUUGCUAAGGGGGGUAAGAGGACAAUGGGAAUUUCAAUCACAGUUGAUCUCAGCAACUCACCCGUAUCAGCCAACAAAAUGGAAUUCUUAACAGUGAAGUCAUUACUAUUCCAUUAUAUACAUUAUUUCAGCAAUACUGUAAAUAUUGAGACAUAACAAGACAGGCUAUCAUCCAAGCAAAAAAAAAAAGUAUCCCUCCUAAAGAGCUAAUAAAUUAAUGACACUAAUAAAGAAUCGUAUUACAAAAUAUCAUCGGGGAUGAACACUGAAGAAGCCCAGAGGGUUAACUGUGCAUGUUUUUUUAAUGAUUUUUACUUUUCUGUUCCUCGCUGCCCUGCGGCCGGAGGAGCAUCACUGGGCUCUGUCACCUGCUCCCGGCUGGUCACUAGAGGGCAAUGAAGGGUCCCGGAGCAGAGGUUCCCUGCAGAGUCUCGGCUUCCCCGGAACGACUUCUUUUCUCUUUUAGUGUAAGAGAAAUAUAAUUUCAUCUGUCUACAUAGUCCUGGCACAGAUACUAUGGCCUUAUAAUCUUGCAACUUUAGCUACAGGAAAUAAGAAUUUUAUGUUGUGGACAGCACAAACUGAUUUGGAUAUAUGCAGGAGCCCUGCUGGUGUCAGGCUCGUAGCCCAGCCCUGGAUGUGUGAGGAACGGCUGAGCAUGGCAGAUGGGCUGCAGAGGUGCCAACAGCAACCACCAGCACUCUCAAGAAAAACACGUGGCAGUAGUGUGGAAAAAUGAGUGAUGAUGUCAGAACUGGCUUAUGAAACAGCUUUGUGUCUUUACAAUGAACAGUUCCUCUUCAUCCAAAGUUUCCCAACACUUGAAGGGGAAUAAGAAUACUGAUUUAUCUCUGUAAACUGUUAAAAAAGCAGAUGAAGACUUUAGGUAACAUUGCUGCUGAGGAAUAGAAAGUUACAAUAUACUUUAUCUGAGCCAGAUAACCAUUCUAUUUUCUAUACUUUUUUAUUAGACAUAAAUCAAUAAUUUGAGAAAAUAUUAAUAUUUAAUAAAUGUUAAAUGAAAUCUGCAACAGUUUCAUGGUAACUGGACCCAUUGUGAUGAAUUUUUCACUUUAUUAAACAGUUUAGAAUACAUUAUUUAAUUAGGCUACAGGGAUUUUUCUUCUCUUUUUGUACUGAAUUAAAAAAUCCUUAUGAGAUUGUGGCUUCUACGAAAAUGAAGCAAAUAAAUUUAUUAGCUUGGAGUGACAAAUUUGGUAAACUCACUGUGUUCACUUCCUUUUAUUUUACUGAAAACCAAACAUGUCACAGUCCCCCAUUCAAAUCACAAAAAAAUAGAGAAAAGGAACAAUUAGUAAUGGGAAAAUGUUUACAAAUCUUACUGUAAAGUAUGAUUUGGACCUCUUUGUAUUACAGCUUUCAUACAGCUGCAUUAUGGUGCAAUAAAGAUGGAAAUAACUUAUGUUUUGAGAAGGAUGUUGGUUCAACACAAGUCUAUACAUUACCAGAAUCUGAUGGUUUCAUUUCUUGAAGCCCAUGGUGAACUUUUCUCCACUAAGAACCACUACAGAAAUGCUCCUGUAAAUAUUAAAAUCCUAUUGACCGAAACUAAAUAGACCCCACAGGGUUGCUCACUUGUGACUAAUUUACUUUGAAGAUUUUUCAUUAGUCAUUUUUCUGCUGGCCCCUGUAGUAGCCUUCCUGUACUUCUUGGU